RNAcentral lists this long non-coding RNA (13164 nucleotides) under Homo sapiens (human). RNAcentral's name for it is "non-protein coding LINC-PINT:26". The record is from RNAcentral. Lineage: Eukaryota; Metazoa; Chordata; Mammalia; Primates; Hominidae.
AAUUGCAGCAUCGAGGGCUGCUGUUCUGCUGACUGUCUUGCUCAGCCGGGGUCAUCUGCUUCUCUAAGACAUCAAGGAAUGCCAAGCCCAUGUAUCAGGACCAGUCAGAGGGAGAAGAGAGGAGUGUAGUCACCUUGGAGUCUGGAACAAACAGCUGGCUCUGCAGCUGGCCAGGCAGCUAUCCAAGCAGGGGGCCUCUCUAGGAGCAAAAUCCAGAAGCCAAAAUAAAUGGGUCAGGUGGAAAGCAGAUGACUAUAACUGCAAGCAAUGCUGAAGGUUGGCCCUGGGGAGCGAAGGCUUUACAUUUCAAGGAUUGUUUCUCAAAUGGCAACUGGCAGUCUACUCCUCAAAUGAUGACGUUUUCCACAGGAAUUACAAUUUAAUUGGAAUAUUUUGUUUUCAAUGGGAAGCAAAGAUUUCUUUCCAAGAGGAUCAGUUUGAUAAUGUUUUACCAGCUAGUGCUACGAGACCAAAUAUAAACCAGUUCUGAGAAACAGGAAGUGAACUGACUGGUCUAGUCUGAGUGUCCCUGGCAGUGACGCAAAUACAGAAAUCAAAUUAGGAAAACAAGAUAUGUGGGUGUGAGGCAAUCGAUAAUAAUCCAGGAUGCUACAACAUAAGCAAGAAUGCCUUUAACCCGAUGCCAUUCAUUUUAAUAACACCCUGAGCAGUUUGAUUUCCACGGAACACGCUGGUGAUUAGAGAGCAGCAGGAGCUUGGGUUCCCUAGCAACAGCAUGUGCUUUUGAGACAGUCAUUAGCCUUUCAGUUAAUCCCAUCAACCCCUUACCUCUAAAUGUAUGACUGACAUAAAAAAAAUGAUGUUUUAGAAAGUGCUUUGAAAUUUCCAGGAGUGCAAUGGAAGGGAAUAAUCAUAAUUAAAAAGUUGUCUGGAGAACUACACUCCAGUGAAGGAAGUAAUGUUCCUACGUGCCAAGCCUGUCCGUAUAUUUCCCUGCUCUCAGUUGUAGGUUUCUGAAUCCCCUGUGGCAAAGGGCAAGGGAGGUGAAAUUGUUCAGAGUUUCAGGCAGUCUUCUCACCUAAAGUGAGUAGUAUUGCAAUGUCUCUUGGAAUCAUGGCUCUGAAGAUGAGGAGAGAAGCGGGAUGGGCAGUUUGUGUGGUGAGGAGGCUGGCUGCAGGUAGGCUGGGAGGGAAUGUCACACAUAGUUUUCUUUCUCCUUUAAGCCGAAUGAGGUAUGCUGGUCAAAGGAACUUGGGGAAGGAGGAUGGUGAGGGGAAUGAAGUUCUUCUUCCUAUUGAUUGUUUUGUUGCACCAGAGGCUGUUUGUCCAAGGCCACUGGCCAAGAGCAUUAUUUUCGUGGCUAAAGUGAGGUUGGGCAGGUUUCCCAUCCCUUUCACUAGUUUUGAACAAGACAACCCAGAAAGCGCAGCAAGGCUCUGGGAAUAUGAUGUGGGUUGGCUUUUCCUACUCAGCUGCACCUUAAAGCGCCAGGCCGAUGGGCUGAUACUUCUCAAACCCUGAAUCAUUGCCUCCAGCUCUGUCCUGGGUUCAGGAUGCACCACUCCACCCUCUGUGUAGCUUGGGGUCAACUUCGGGGCGUCACUCCAAUAGUAAUUAUUGCUGCGUUUGGCUGGACAUCCUUAUUACGGCCUGGGUCCCUCUCAGCUGGAAACUGGGCUCCUUCAGUUUGGCUGGGGUGACUUCUAGCACUUCCCGCCGCCCCACCUUACCCCCCUGCGCGCUCCCUUCCCAAGGCGACCACCUGCACCGCCCCACUUACCAUCUGCCCCGCGGGGAGGGCCCCCCGGGCUAGCGGAGCCCUCCCUGCUCCCGGGCGGCUCUGGAGGAGCUCGGUGUUUGCCUCUAGCCCUUCGCUACCGGAGGAUCAGGUUCCUCCCCUCCUCCCCCUCCAGCUCCGGCCGCCGCCGCCGCCGCCGCCGCCUCCUUCUUGCAUGACACAGCAGAACCGCAGCUGCUGCAGCAAUUUCAAGCCAUCCGCCCAGGAAGCGCCGCAACCGGGACUCGGGAGGGGUGGAGGGGGCGAGGCAGAGGCCGCGGCCCCAGGGGAUCCUUGGCCCCACUGUGCACCACACACUCCUUUCCCAGCCCAGGGGCACGCGAACAAAAUGAGGCUCAAGCUGACCAGGCCGAGCCGGAGGAACGCUGGGGCUUGGCAGCAGAAGGGAUGGGACCAGAGAGAAGGGUGUGGAGGAGACCCCAGUGAGGGCCAGGACAUUUCAGGUAAAGAGAGGUCAUAUCUCCGUACCUCACUUCCUGACACAAACAAGUUUUCACUGUUGUCAGCAACAAAGCCCUAAUAUAGCUGCGGAAGAGAAAAACUGCAUUGCAUUUUGCCUCCUGCAAGCAUCAUCAACAGUUACUGGAGGAACGUAAUUCCAGAAAGCUUGAAAGCCGUGGUGAUGGUAAUUAUGUAUCAAAUGCCUGGUUCUAUUUCUGUUAUUAUUGUUUUGUCAUUUCUGUUUUCCCAGCGAUCUGACUGAACUCGCAGAGGGACAAAUCCAGUUUUUCUUUUUGACUUUUGUCAAACUAAAUCAGGCCUGAUAGAAAACUCAUUGCUCUCCGGGGAAACAAAGUAGGAGCCACGAAAUGUCAUUUUAACAGAGCGUGGGUUUGGUGACUGUAGGAAAGGAUUUGAGGACGCUCCUUCUGUUCGGCUUCCUAUGUCAUGAGCACAGGCUCCACGCACGCACAGACACCACGGCUCCCGGAUGCUGUGGCUCCCCGAUCGGGGCUCCUGCAGCGCCAGAAGCCCCUCCGGGAUGCUUCGAGGGGCUCCCGGUGGGUGGAGGUACGGACGCCGCUGCGGCCGCCGCCGCCAGUCCUGCUGCUGUUGUUGCUGCUGCAGUCACGUGGGAGCCCCUUUAAGUUUCCAUAGAGAGGCCUCUCUGGUGUCACAUGAUGGACAUGAUAUAAUGAAACAACAUUGUGGAGAGGAAAGCAUUAGGGGAGCCCACGGCUACAAAAACAAGUGAGUGAGAAGAGGUGGGAGGAAGAGAAACUACGCCACCUCCCCUGCAGCCGAGUGCACGCAGCAGCCUGGCGUGACAAGUGGGCGACGCCGGGGGGCAGGGAGCCGGGGUCCUUGGCCCUGGCCGGGGACCCCACCGCCCACCGCGCGGAGGACAACUUUUAGCCGGCAGCCCAGACCAGCGCGGCACCUGUCUCCGGAGUCUCCACCGCUCCUCCCGAUUCAUCCCAGGGAAAUUCUCAAGAAUACGCUCUACAAAUCUACGUGCGCAUCAUUUUCACCUCGCGUCGCGCCCGGGAGGAAGGAACGAGGCAAGGAGCUAAAGCAGCGUGCGUUCAGCCCUGGGGCAUUUUAUUAAUGCUUUUACGAGUUAGAAGAGUUGGGAUAAUUUGCCAUCUGGAGUUUCUCUGCCUUGCUGAUCUGAGCUCAGACCUGCCAAUUUACCAGAGAUAAUUGAUAACACCCUGUAACAGCUGAGAGGAAAAUGGAAGAAACGGAGAUACUUUUAGUGAAGCAGAAUAAACCACUGAACAGGAAAAAUGAGGAAGCUGUGAGUACCAGUGGAAGGAACGAGCCAGGAAGAGGGACUGGAACCAUCUCAGAAGCCAUGCCCCUCAGGCUGGAACUUGCCCUGUCUCCUCGCAGAUGAGCUACCUCUUGUGUUUAAGAAUUAAAGGAAGAUGAGCUAGGAAUCAAGAAAUACGCAGAACUGAUUCCUGUCACUGGCGCCACCCUGCCACUUGCCCAGAGCUGUGGUAUAAAUUUUUUUAAUAGGCUGAAAUAAAAAUAUGAAUAGCAUUUUGGUAUUAAGCAUUAAAUUGAUAAAGGCUAUGAGAUACACCUGCUCUCAACCAUGUUAAUUUUUUAUUAUUGGUAUUAAUAAAUUAUUACUUACUAACAUAUUAACAAGAAUUGCAUUGAGAAACAAAGCAUCCACAGGCCAAAUCUUCUGAAUUUCAAAUGUUUAUAUUAAUGCGUUGUAUUCUAGAAAAGUAGAAUUGUCUUAAGUAGCUUUGUAAUAUAAAGUCAUCUAUCAGCCCAUUACACCUAUUAGAAUGUUUUAACCUUUAUUUCCCACUUUUUUGUUUCUAGACUGAGUGUACUUGGUCUGGUAUUUGUGGCAUAACUUACGGAACACAUAAGAAUGAUACAGAUACUAUUUAAUGAUGACCUAAUACAAGCUUAGAUAGCUAAGGUGAAAGCUUCUAUGGCCUUAACAUUUUCCUCUUGAAGAAUGUAUUUUCUGUAAUAAAAUACAGUGGCUACUUGAAAUCUAUAAACUUAUGUGAGGUCUGGAUAAAUCUGAGCAACUUUCUUCUUUGUGCUCCAGGAACCUACGCACUAUAUAUAUAAAUAAAGCUUAAGUAAACAUCACUGCAAUCUGUGUUUUGUUUGAUUAUAUUACGUAUUGCCUGAUCUUUAAAUAAUGAUGAAAAAUAGCCUUUAACAUAAACCAUGAAUGGAUAUGCACUUGAGGGAAACAGUUUCUUGGAUAAUUAAACUUUAAUUUCUCACCGUGGAUUCCUUGGAUCUUGUAAUAUUUUUUAAAACAGUCCUGGGGAUUUAUUUUUAAGGCGUCCAAAUGAAUUAUUAGUUCUCAAAAGCCAUAGUAUAUUCAUGGGUCGAUAUAUCCUCAAAACACUAUUUUUAAACUGCUUAGUUUAUUUUUCUUAGCGUGCUCAUCUGCUGCAUAAUUUUCUUUGCUAUGUAUGGGUCACAUGCUUCCUCCCGUCCAUAACUCACGCACUUAAAAUUCUCACUUCCUGAUUGAGCCAUCAGAUUACGUAAAAUGUAAAUCAGCCUGAAUACCUAGGAGCAGGAAUUUUAAGGGAGAAAAUGCCGUUUUCUUUUUCUGUGUCAUUAUUAACCCUUAAAUAUCAGAGUGAGUGUCUGCUCACCUAUUUGUAUUUGGAAACGAGAUACUGUUAGGGGUUUUUCUUGGCCCUUCCCUUUCAGAUUGAAUCAGACUUUGCUGCUUUCCUUAUACAAAAUAAUGUACCAACUAGAUAGACGGUGGGAGUGGUAUCGUUGCAGGAAUGAAACCAAAAGGGUUCCGAUGAUUGAGAGAGAUUCAUUUAUUUUUUAACUCUUCUCAUGAUCUGAAUGAAGAGUACAGCAUCUAUCAAAAGGUAACAACCUAAUAUUUCAGAAUUGCAAGUGGCCAUUUAGCCUUUCUGCUGCCUGAUAUAAAUGAAAGUAAUUCCUAGCAGGCAGGAUGACACUUGUUUUAUCACGAAUCUGACAAUCCAGCACAUUUUCUCAAGCAAUUUUGAAGUUGUCGUAGUAACAGCAUGGCAUUUGGAGGGUCUUUUUAGUAGUUCUUUAGCUAGAGUUAAUUAAUUGUAUUAACUCUGGAUGUUUUUCUUUUUACUCCUCUUUGACAAACAAGGGCUAUAAUUGCUCAAAUAUGUAUUUUGUGUUCUAUAUUUUUUGGUGACUAUAGUUUAAGGACGUGAUGUUUUUAAGUGGUUUCAGUAAAAGGUUAUCAGUUGAUUUCAGACACAUUAAACUUGGGUUUUUAAUUUCUCUGUAAAAUUCCACUAUCAUUGUAGGACCAGGAUUUAGUUUUAUUUAAGAAGUGAAUCUGGGGAGAUAUUUGCACAAAUUGAAUUGUGGCUUGCUUCCAGUGGUUGCAACUAUCCGUUGCUUUGAUUUUGGUGUAUUUAGAAAAAGAACUGGGGAAUGCAGAAAGGGAAAUGUGUCAGGCUUACAGGAGAAAAUUGUUUCUUUAGAAAUGCAACAGGCAGGCACACCACCAAAAGCAUGUUCCAUAAAAGAAAACAAAUAAAUUUGAUUUUGUGAAACUUAAGAAUGCAGUGCUCUUUGAAACUCUAAAAUAUACUUAAAUAAAUUCUCCCCUAGGAAGAUUUGUGGGAACUUUUUAUUGGUGGAAAGUAGGUUGGAACUUCUAGUAUUAAUAGUAAAACUCUGUGGCAGAAAUUCUUGCCAAUAUGGCGGUUGGUGAGAAAGGAAUCCCGUUUCUUGGGCAGGGAGAGGGUCAGAAGAAAGAAUUGUCUGUACUCAGUCUGGAUGCCGGGACUUAAAAAGUAUCAGAUAUACAAUGCUUUUGUUUUCUUGUAUAAGUGAACAGAGAGAUGUGACACUUCUAAAAGGUCUUGUGAGUUUUGUGGGUUUAAUGCUAAUGCCACUAUCCUUACUGUUCUGUGAGUAUUUGUUCAGCCACGGGUGAUUCAAGAGAGUUGGGGUAUCAGCAUGUGCAGCCAACAGCAGUCCAGGUGCUAAUGCACCACCGGUGAUGUCAGGAGUUACGAGACAGCGGUUUCCAAACACUGCAGUAAACAAGGUCAAAGUGUCCCGUUUCGCUGGAAGAAGUUUUGUUUUUAUGAGCUGGACAGUACAUGGAUGAAGUAAUUUUUCAAAACAAACUUUAAAUUUAUACAUGUGUUUUUUUUCUUCUUCUCUUUGGAUUAAAAUAAAUUGGCCCGUUGAGAUUAAAUAAUGGUUAUGUUUUUAAGCAGAAUUAUAUUUCAUAUGUUUUUCCAGUCUUUUAUUGAUUUUCUGUUUUUCACAGAAGAAAUGAAAAUAACUUCUGAUGUAGGGUUUCUUAAAUGCAGUUUGAGAGAGCAAGAUAGGAACCAGUACUUUCAAAAUAUGGCAAGUGCAAGUCACAAUCCCUAGUAAGAUAUUCCUUCUCAUUUUGUGCCUUUGACUCUUAUUUAGACAGACGUUUAAGUACGAGAAAGCUAAUGGCGCAGAUUCUGCUGACUGUGUGGCUCUCGUCUUAAUGCGUUUUCCAACCUUGAACCUGAGAAUGCCAGAGGAUUGAGUCUCUGGACGUUCAUCUGAGCAGAUAUCUGCUGGCCGCCUGGUUCCUGAGCUAACAAGUGGGUGUCCCGGGCUUGUGUGUGUAGUCACAACAGUGGAGGUGCCACGUGGCACCCAGAGGUCGACUGGGGCUACCGCGGGGCUUCCCGAUCCUCACAAGUGUGUCUUCAGUGUCUGACAUGAACUGGGAACUUGGGGCAUCUUUAGAAGCACAGACAUUUGGAGUUCCACGGCAAACCUGGAUGUAAGCACUCACACAGCUUUUAAAGUGAAAGCAGGGACCUUGAGGAAGGAAUCGCCGUCAUCUCAUUGCCGACCUGCUUACUGUGCUGGGAAACAAAGUAAGUUCUGUUUGUUUCUUUGUUAGUCUCUCCUGCGUGUUUUUUCUUGCUAAUGUUAUUAGACACUCAAUAUCCGGCAAAUGCCAAUGUGCCGGCUUGCUGUUUAGAGAUAGGAAGAGAUUGAAAUUUAUUAUCAAGGAGAAAACAAAAAGUGUUUUGUUUUGUUUCUAAAUGGUCCAAGAACUUUGCCAUUAGGUAAAUGACUAUGACACAGACAAGGCGUUUUGCAUGGUAUGACCAGGAGCACCUCUAGCAAAACAGCCCCAGUUCGCCGCCCUGAUUUCCAUUUGGAAGCAGGCACAGUGGGUUUCCCCAGGACCGAUGUUAACGCAGAGGGUCCUUGUGCAGGAAUUGUGCAGAAACUAGGUGGGAAGGUGUCACAGACAAGAGGCUGCAAUUUAAAAACGCAUCAGGAAAUGGAAAAGAGCUGCGAGAAUAUCAAUUAUUUAAUGAUGUUGAUAAAAACAAAUUUAAUAUAAAAAUGAGAUACAAUGUAUAGAGACCUAACCCUGUCAACAGCAACUAAACUUUACUUUCAUGUUAGAAAGUUUUGUGCCAUGUAGAUUUAUGGAAAAUGUGCUUAAUUGCCUCUAGAAAAUAAUGAAGAGGCUUCGUCACCUCCAUAGAAGAUCCUGUGACACUAGCCUAAUUCUGACACAUGGCUCCUGUUUUCCAUUUUGUUUGUUUUUUUAUGCUGAUCCUCUCUCCAGAGAUGUGAUGUGGAUUGAUUAACUUGUAAUAUAAAGUUCUAUGGUUUCUGAAAAUGCAGAGCAAAUAGAGAUGAAGAGUGGUUUGUGAUUUGUUAUUAAAUGAUCUUCCCUUCUACAUUUAGGACUGAUUUUUACUGUAGAAUUUUUUUUUUUUUUUUUUUUUUUUUUUUUUGUCAACUUGAACAGCAAUACCUUGAAGGUAAAAGGUGGGAGCACGACUGGAGUGUGGAACUGGAAAGCAGAAACCAGGGGUGUUACUUCUAUGUCUAGUAUGGAAUGUUGUGAAUUUAAGUUAGAGCUUCUGUGUCCUGGGAAUUCAUAUUUUAUCUCAAAGUGGUGCUGAUAGGACUGGAGGUAGCUGUAUUUCAUUUGAAACAUUCCAGCCUCUUUAUAGGAAUAUCUGUGAAUUUUUAAUUCAGCAAACAUCUUUAAGUGUGUCAUUUAUGUAUAGCGUUGUAGUCAGAGCUGUAAUUGUUUCACCAUUAAAUUUACGGAAAUUCAGUUUGUAAGUGAAAAAUUAAGAACAGUUUGAAAGAAGGGCGAAUGAGCAGAGCAUUGCCAUCUAAACAGUCUUGUUAAAGAUAGUGCCAAGUGAGCAGGACUGUCCCUUCUAAGCUGCCCCUCCUAAUUAAAGGGAAAGGUGGCUGCCAUCUGUCUUCUUUCAUUCAAGGCAGUAGGGGGUCUAGGGUGGAAGGAAGCAACCCCCACUUUAUUUUUCUCCCACUCUUUUUUAUAGUCAGCUUUCUCCCUAGUCAGUGACCCAGAAGGUCAUUGAUGAUCUGUCUAUCUCAGAAUGAAUAGUAGCAUAAGCACGCUUGGCACUUGCAAAAAAAAGAAAGUUUAUAACAUGCACUGAUCCAUUUAAAGUUCUGCUUGAAUUAUGUCUGAGAGUAUUGUAAUCUCUGUAUUGGUGUCUCUGCCCUGUUUGUUACCAAGGGCACUACUGGCAGGAAAAGUGGGGAGUUUUACUUUUAUUGAUUUUGCUUUUUCAUGAAAAAAUGUUUACACUCCACUGGGCAUAAUCAGAAGAUGGCAGCACAUGGCUAUGUACAGGAGAUGUGGGGAUGUACAGGAAUAUUGUUCUUAUCAAAAUCAAGGACACCUAUUAAUGAUGAUACAUAUAUGUCAUCUCAGGGGAAAGCAUGAACAAGCAUGGCAACAGAUGUCCAAGUUACUCAGUGGCCUGCUGCAGCUUUUUGGACCAGUUAUUGAAAUAAUUCACAUUGUUUAGCUUUUGUUAAGCAAUAAGGCUUUUAGCCUUUUUCUUGUAAGAAUACGUUGCAGGAGAGUUUAGUUUGGGGUCAUGUCUUCAUUGCUUUGGAAAUGUAGAAUAGUCCUCCAACAAAAUGACUGCAUUUGCUUGCCUUCGUUUCCACCUCUGUAAAUAGAAGAAAUAUCUGCUGUUUUUAUAAAUAUAUAAGAGAAUAUGAAAUAUUUUCCAUCUUUCAUAAGAACUGUGUUAUAACUGAAAAAUUCUCAAAUCUUCAGUUAUGUUUAUUUUCAAUUUUUACACACUUAAGCAAGGUGUUAACAGUCUUCUAAAGAGAUUCAGUUGUUACAAGCCUUGUUUAGUUCCCAAGUAGCAGGUAUGGACUUCUCAGAACAUACUGGUUUUUAGAACUCUCUUUGUGACACAGAAGUGUGGUAUUUCUUAAACCCAUAACAAUAUAUUUGGAGAGCUCAAAUGUGAAAGUCAUGUCUGUAAUUUUAUUUAGAGCUUUUUUUUUUUUUUUUUUUUCCAAAUUUGUCACCAACUUGCAACGAGCUUUCUUGGAAACAUAGACGUGUUUAUGUUGUUGAGUCUUGAGAUGAACAUGUGUGGGCUUCUGACGACACUGAUGCCCAGUUUGUAUGAUUGGAUGAUACCUGAAAAGUGGGUCACUUCCUAGUCAGUGAAGGGUACACAGGGCUGAAUAGGCAGGGCUUUUUGGCUUUUUCCGUGCUUUUGUUUUUGUUUUUGGUGUGUGUGUGUACUAAUUUUAGAUACUCAGCUAGGUACUUGACUGGCUAUCCUUUUUAGCAUGUGAUUUAAUUUGGUUUUACCCAUCAGUAUUUAUUUCAAGGGGACUAAAUAAACACAUUAAAUGAAGCACUUAAGAACUUUCUAUCUUCUUUUGACUAUCCACAGCGGUGGGAAAUCUCUGUCCUUUGAGGGUAGGAGGGAGCCAAUAGUUAGGUCUCAUGAAUAUGGUAGGUGAUCAAACCACUGAUUCAAGUCAUUGUUUCAUGUUAUAAACAUGGACUGAGCCAGCUACUACAUUUCAGUAGAAGGUACUGUAGAUUCAAAAGUGAACAUGGGUCUGGCAUUUCAGAAAGACACAGGUUAGUGAGAUAAAUGACUAUAAAAAGAGGUAGCACUGUAGACUGAUGUCCUGUAACAGAGGUACACGUGUGCUGUUAGAGCCAAGAGGGGGUCAAAAUAAAAAGACAGGGCACGGUGGCUCAUACCUGUGAUCCCAGCACUUUAGGAGGCUGAGGUGGGAGGAUCACUUGAGGCCAGGAGUUCAAGACCAGCCUGGGCAACAUAGAUCCCCAUCUCUACAAAAAAAUAAAAUAAAAUAAAAAAAUAAGCCACACAUGGUGGCAUGCAUCUAUAGUCCUAGCUACUUGGGAGGCUGAGGCAGGAGGAUCCCUUGAGCCCUGGAGUUGAAGGCUAUAGUGAGCUAUGAUCACACCACUGCACUCUAGCCUGAGCGACAGAACAAGAUCCCAUCUCUGAAAAAAUGGAUGAGUGAAUUAAAUUUCAAAAUAGAGAUUUAAUGGAAAAAUGAGAAUUGUUGUGUACAUGAUUUAUGAAGUGGCUUACAUAAUAUAAUUUUGGACAUGAAAGCCCUGAAAAAUAGCUUCUUAUUUUAAGGAUGAACAGACUGGGAUUUAUUUCUGAAAUUCUAUAAUUCUCAGUCAGUUGUAAGGCUUUCAUUAUAUAAUAGACUUUUUUUUUUAACCAACGGAAGUUGGACCUCUUCAAAAUGUGAGAUCCAAAAAGGUUUUGGAUAUUGUUUGAAUAACUCUCUUCUCCAAAGGAGACUGUUUUUGAAAAAUGAUUCUUUCUGACAUGUUAAAAUUGAAUAUUUUUGACACGCCAAAUGCACCAAAGUAUUAUAUGUCAUGUUUAUUGCCGAGAGUAGCUAUAUAGCUUGUGGGAGACAGUUAACGUGAAGCUUUCUUGCAUCUGGAAGUAUGGGGAGAGAGAAGGCUUCUUCACACCCCCUUUCAUGUUAUAUUCUACAGGGAAAGAAUUUCUAUCAUGUAGACACUAGGUGACUCCCUUGUGGAUAAUUUCAUUUAACAAUGAUUUCUGGGUGUUGCUCUAUGCCAGGCACUGUUCUAGGAGCUGAUGCGAAGGCUCAGCUGAUGGGCUACAGACCUGAAGGCCUGUGCUCCUCAGUGGCACUCUGUAGGUAGAUACAGAGCCACCAUCUACUGGGUGCUUCUCCUGAGUGUGACAGUGUAGGCUGGGACACGAUGCUACCCUUCAAGGAGCUUGAAGCUAAGGUUCUGUGCACAGAUAAAAUUAGAAUAAAUGCAGAGAUGCUAUAACAAGAUGUCUUAGAAAAAAGAAAAACAAAGAAUAAAUGCAGAGAGAAAGAGAAAUGUAUAAAAGGUAGAGAGAUAAACAUACCACAAGUUCAUAGAAAAGAAAGGUUGUGUGUUUAUCUGUGGCUGGGAUGAUCAAGAAAUGCUUCAUGGAUAAAGAGCCUUUGAGCCAGACAUUGAAAGAAAGGUAAUGUUGGACUUGAGGUCUUGGAGUAUCCUCGUUGAAGGAAACAUGAGCAAAGGCAUAGGUAGGGAUGGGAAAUGCCGGGGUGCAGAGUGGGCAGGAAUCGAUUUGUAGUUGCUGGGCAAUGAUGUGUGUAAACCACUAAGGAGAAGAUCAGGUAGCAAAGGUCCUUGGAGGCCAGAACCCAGAGGGCCUUGAAUGGCACGUGACUAAAUGAUUUAAACUUAAGUUACUGGGGAGCAAUGGAAGAAUUUGAGUGGCUAGAGUCCCCAUCCUGAAGAGGCCUUGCGGGGAUCAGCAUGUGGGUGCCUCUGGACUGUGAAAUAGCCAGAGCUGGGAAGCCUUUUAGAGCUGCUGUUGUGGUCCAGGAGGGAGGUGGGGAGGGCCUGGGUGAGGGGAAGGCCACUAGAUGGAGAAAUUGAAUUUAUGAGAUGGGAUUUAGGAACUGCCUAGAUAAUAGGGGUUGGCCGAUGGGAAGCAAAAAUGCCCCCAGAGCUUUGAACCCAGGUGCCAUUCAUUAUUUCUAUGCCAUCUGCCAGGCAUUGCAUAGCUAUUAUCUCAUUUAAUCUCCUCCUAAUCUUGUGGGUUGGUAUUUUCAUCCUUAUAUCAGAGACGAGAAAACUAAGGGUCAGAGAAAAUUAGCAAUUGGUCUAAAAUUGUACAGUUGUAACAGGAUCUAGAACAGGGACUUCAGUACAGGCCUCCCUGACCCCCAAGCCUGUGUUCUUUCUACUGUACUAGGCUUGGAAGACAGCGUACGUGAGAGCAAAGACAAGCUCUGUCCACUCUGUGCAUAUUCAGUGUAGGUGCUGGUGAGAUUCCCGCCUUCAGGUGUCCAGCAAGUGGUUGGAGACAUGGAGCCGAAUCUCAAGGACAUUGGGAGGAUUGAAGGUCAAGGCUUAAGAACCAUCUGCAUCCUCAUUUAUUUAUUCAGCAGCUAUUUGUUGUGUCUUCGUGGACCAGCUUGGCAGCAUGAAUGCUGUGACCAACAAGAGAGGUGUGUCCUUCACGGAGCUGCCAGGCUGGGAGGGAGCCCUGAUGGCGUGGCUUGAGUGUAAGGCAGGAGGUGUGCAGAUUGGCUGUGGGAACUUACUGGCCUAACCUUGUCAGGUCAGGGAAGCUCUCUAGAGGCAGUUGUGGUUCUCAACAUGAGACUCAAAUGAUGAGGACCCAGUUAAAAAGUGGGAAAACAGCAUACCCCAGGCCGUGGAAGUAGCGCGUACUCAGGCAGAGCAAGAUAAGAACACAGUGUCUUUAAACCAAAAACCACGUGUGGCUGGAAUGGAGGGAAGAGCAAGGAGAUAAGACAGGUGAGCAGGAACCAGAACAAGAAAUGCCCUGGAAGCUGUGAGACGCUUGGAAUUCACCUGUGAAGAAAAGAGUAGCCUCAUCUGAAUUCCUUGCCUCGAUUAUGGUCUCCAAUAGAAGAUUAAAUGGCUGUGGAGUCUAGAGGUUUUUUCCUUCGGUGUGGGCAUCACCCCUUCUGAAAGGAUGGUGUAAUGGCUAAUUGUAUGUAUCAGCUUGGCGAGGCCACAGUACCCAGAUACUUGGUCAAGCACCAGUCUAGAUGUCGCUGUGCAGGUAGUUUUUUAGAUGAGGUUUAACAUUUAUAUCAGUAGAAGGAGUGAAGCAGAUUAUCCUUUGUAAUGUAUGUAG